Molecule: ribosomal RNA, 609 nt
Filed under: uncultured bacterium
Lineage: Bacteria
Description: bacterial SSU rRNA
Rfam family: Bacterial small subunit ribosomal RNA
Source: RNAcentral
AGAGUUUGCUCCUGGCUCAGAACGAACGCUGGCGGCAUGCUUAACACAUGCAAGUCGAACGGUCAUUGCAAUGGAGUUUACUUUAUUUAGUGAUAGUGGCAAACGGGUGAGUAACGCGUGGGAAUAUACCCCUUAGUCCGGAAUAACGUUUGGAAACGAACGCUAAUACCGAAUAAUCCGGAGACGGAAAAGAUUUAUCGCUAAGGGAAUGGCCCGCGUUGGAUUACGGUAGUUGGUGGGGUAAAGGCCUACCAAGCCUAUGAUCUAUAGCUGGUCUGAGAGGACGAUCAGCCACACUGGGACUGAGACACGGCCCAGACUUCUACGGAAGGCAGCAGUGGGGAAUAUUGGACAAUGGGGGAAACCCUGAUCCAGCAAUGCCGCGUGAGUGACGAAGGCCUUCGGGUUGUAAAACUCUUUUAUCAGGGAAGAUAAUGACGGUACCUGAUGAAUAAGCUCCGGCUAACUUCGUGCCAGCAGCCGCGGUAAUACGAAGGGGGCUAGCGUUGUUCGGAAUAACUGGGCGUAAAGGGCGCGUAGGCGGUUUGGUAAGUUUGAUGUGAAAGCCCUGGGCUCAACCCGGGAAUUGCAUUGGAUACUGCUAGACUA